GCAAUCUAAAUUUAAUCUUAUAAAUUUGAAUAUCAAUAUAUAUAGUGUUAAGAACAAAUUUUAAAGUACAGAAAUGGAAAUUGAAAAAUUAAAAAGUAAUGAUUUAGUCAUGUACCUUUUGCAUAAUGGUUUUACAAGAUAUUUAUUUAAUUUAUAAUCCCGAAUUCUAUGAGAGCUAUUAUUAAAUUGUUUAGAACCAUAUCUACUAGUUGUUUCAUUAACUUUAGAAAAUUUAAUAAUAGAGGCUACAUACCACCCGCUCAAGAAUAUAUCUGGUUUCUAAAAAAUUUUAUUGAUUAAAUCAUGCAAUUUAAAUGUAGUUGUAGUGUAAAAUAGGGGAGGAUAAGCCCCCCUAUUAAAAACAACUUGAUUUUACAAUAACUUAUAGGCUUAAGAUCAGCCAUUUAAAGUGCUUUAUCGCAAAACUUAUUAAAUAAUUUUGUUAACAGUGUUUUUUAUAUUUAGAAAUUUUAAAAAAUAAUUUUAUUAAAAUUUUUUAUGUAAAUAUAAGUAUUAUAUUAACUUAUUAAUGUUUAUUAUAUUAAUAAUAAAAAAAGGAACUAGGCAAAAAUUCAUUUCGACUGUUUAACAAAAACAUUGCUCUUUGACUAUAAAUAGAGAGUAUUUCCUGCCCAGUGAUAAUAUAAUUAUUAAACGGCCGCGGUAUCCUAACCGUGCAAAGGUAGCAUAAUCACUUGCUCAUUAAUUGUGGGCUAGAAUGAAUGGACUAACGAAAAUUGAACCUGUCUCUUUUUACUAAAUAAAAAUUAAUUUUUAAGUGAAGAAGCUUAAAUAGAUUCGAAAGACAAGAAGACCCUAUAGAGCUUUAUUUUUAAAAAUGUAGUAUAUUUUUAUAUAGUUUGGUUGGGGCGACCCGGGGUUAAGUUUAUCACCCCGAUAUAAAAAGAUUUAUUUAUCUAAUUUAUUGAUCCUAAAAUUUAGAUCAUUAGAAUAAGCUACCUUAGGGAUAACAGGCUAAUCUUAUUUAAAAGUUCUUAUUAAAAAUAGGGUUUGGCACCUCGAUGUUGGCUUAGGGAUUCUUAAUGACGCAAAAGUUAUAGAAGAGGGUUUGUUCAACCUUUAAUUCCCUACAUGAGCUGAGUUCAGACCGGCGUAAGCCAGGUUAGUUUCUAUCUUCGAAUUCUUAUUAAAAUCCGUUUACAGUACGAAAGGACCUAAAUUCGGGUAAUUUAUACUAAAAGUUUGCAUAAAUAUACUAAAAAAAAAAAAAUAAAGAUUUAUA
Molecule: ribosomal RNA, 1243 nt
Filed under: Drawida japonica
Lineage: Eukaryota; Metazoa; Annelida; Clitellata; Moniligastrida; Moniligastridae
Description: 16S ribosomal RNA
Rfam family: Bacterial large subunit ribosomal RNA (bases 775-1144)
Source: RNAcentral